Hyaena hyaena (striped hyena) is the source of this 184-nucleotide small nuclear RNA. RefSeq annotates it as U2 spliceosomal RNA. The record is from RefSeq and is a predicted model, not a curated record. NCBI's taxonomy places the organism in Eukaryota, Metazoa, Chordata, Mammalia, Carnivora, Hyaenidae. The transcript has a single exon.
AUCACUUCUUGGCUUUUUGGCUAAGAUCAAGUGUAGUAUCUAUCAAUCAAUCAAUCAAUCUAUCUAUCUAUCAUCUAUCUACCUAUAUCACUCAUUUUUGUCCAUUCAUUAACUGAGGGACACCUGGGCUGUUCCUCUAUCAUGGCUAUUGCAAAUAAUGCUGCUAUAAACAUAGAGGUGCAUG